CGAAAAUAAUAAUACAGUUUUUGCAAUGAAAAAAUUGCAUGGUAAUUAUGCAACGAUUAUUGCACAACGCUGUUUUAUUGUUAACGAGCAAUCACAUGCUCAGGUUGUGAUUUAUCAUGAAAGUUCAUAGUUUAAGGAAACUGAGGUUUUGAGUAAAUUGUUCUUGUACAGGAAAAUAUUAUUUCCUUGGAUUCCUGCAAAUUCAAAGGACAUCAUUGAAGACAUACGAAUUGGCUUUGGGACAAUUUUCCUACAUACAUUGUGUCUGGUCUAUUAUGCGAUCAGAAAACUCACAGUCAUCGUUCGGUUUUGUUUUCAAAUAAUCGCCCUACUUUUGUUGCUGCGUUUUUCCGGAAACGUGACUUGUCAAUCAUGUGACUCAGGUGUACUUUCCACUUAGACAAAACUAUUCCAUAACAGGGUCUUUAAUAUUUAUUAAGUCUCCUCAUUGAACCAUUGACCAUUGUUAAUUAAAAUAGAAAUGAUAAUGGUAGGGCAUAUAAGAUUCCAUGUUCCUUCGUCUACGUCAAACGUUAUCGAAAUCCUUGAAUCUACACGAGAUAAGGGAAAAAUAGACGAAUUUCCUUACACGUGAUAAAUGUAUGCUCAAGAAUGAUACGUGAUGAAACGAUGAUAGAGGUCAUGAACGAACGGGGGUAACGCGAAAUUAACUCUUCUAUAGCGAAGACGUCGUAUGUCCUCUAUAAGUAAGUCGUGAACCAUUAACGUCUAACUCAAUUAAAUGGAAUGCAUCGAAUUAUCUAGAAGAAUGUUAGAACGGCUCAGAUGGUUCUCGUUCCAAAGCCGUUAGUGCCAAGAAGGUGCACCUUGUCAGUCAAUCAUUAUAAAUAGAAUAAUGUUCGUAACAAUUCGUUGCAUUAACAUAGUAACAGUCUAUUGCAAAGUUGAAUGAUUCCUUCAAGAAUUGCUUCAAGGUAAGUCCAUAGGUUGUAGCCAUAGAUUAAAGCCAUAGGUCAUUCUAUUUAUGGUAAAAUCUAUAAGAACAUAGAUUCUUUUCAUUUGUUCAUUUUGCCUAAACUGCAUAUUUCAAAUGGUAAUGCAUACUACUGAAGUGUCAGGCAGGUUUAAAUGGAAGAACGAUGAAUUUUAAUUUGAAUUUGCCACCAAGAACGGCGCCGUGGGUCAUUUGGUUCAGGCGGGUUACAGUAGAUGGCGAAUCGAUCUCGAUCGAUAGACAGCGGAGCGAUAAAUCGCGCAGUAGUGACUACGCAUCCAAGAAGACUGGGCGUGCGUUUGUUUUCGAGGGUCAUGGUAUUGGGGUCCCAGAUACCCCAAGGCACAGUUAAAUCACAUUGUUGCGUAGCCAGCUGGCGCGGCACCUUUAUCAACCGUUCGACCCAGAGCGAACCUCAGUCUUACAGCGACCGACAAGGGAUGCGGAUCUACCUGUACAACAUACAUACACCCUUAUUUUACUUUGUACGUUCAUUUAAUUUGCUGUAUUUAUCUUCUUAGCUUAUUGAAUAAACUCAUUAGCAAGAA
Molecule: non-coding RNA, 1503 nt
Organism: Osmia lignaria (orchard mason bee)
Lineage: Eukaryota; Metazoa; Arthropoda; Insecta; Hymenoptera; Megachilidae
Source: RefSeq, a predicted model, not a curated record